This 428-nucleotide ribosomal RNA is filed under the name uncultured bacterium. RNAcentral's name for it is "bacterial SSU rRNA". It matches the Rfam family "Bacterial small subunit ribosomal RNA", at positions 917 to 1344 of the family's 1533-position model. The record is from RNAcentral.
GGGCCCGCACAAGCGGUGGAGUAUGUGGUUUAAUUCGAUGCAACGCGAAGAACCUUACCAGGGCUUGACACCCUGCGAAUCUCUUGGAAACAGGAGAGUGCCUUCGGGAACGCAGUGACAGGUGGUGCAUGGCUGUCGUCAGCUCGUGUCGUGAGGUGUCAGGUUAAGUCCUAUAACGAGCGCAACCCCUGUGGUUAGUUGCCAGCGAGUCAAGUCGGGAACUCUAGCCAGACUGCCGGUGCAAACCGUGAGGAAGGUGGGGAUGACGUCAAAUCAUCACGGCCCUUACGUCCUGGGCCACACACGUGCUACAAUGGUAGGUACAGAGAGCAGCCACGUCGCAAGGCGGAGCGAAUCUAUAAAACCUAAUCACAGUUCGGAUCGGGGUCUGCAACUCGACCCCGUGAAGCUGGAAUCGCUAGUAAUCG